Poecilia latipinna (sailfin molly) is the source of this 4140-nucleotide long non-coding RNA. RefSeq lists it as uncharacterized. NCBI's taxonomy places the organism in Eukaryota, Metazoa, Chordata, Actinopteri, Cyprinodontiformes, Poeciliidae. The transcript has 2 exons. The record is from RefSeq and is a predicted model, not a curated record.
AAAAAAAAAAAAAAAAAAAAGCUCCUUUAAGAAGAGAGAGAGAGAGAUGGAUUUAUCCAGCGCUAAAGCAGAAUCAGGAAUGACAGAGGUGGCGAGAAAUGCUGCUGCAGAAAUGACUGCUCUAAAGGUAAGAUUAAAUAUAAAAAUAAUAAGAGCAUGGUUUAACAUAAUGACAACAGAGCCGUCUUUAAUCUGGAGCUGCAUGGAAACAGUGUAACAAAGCAAAAUUGGAAUAAUUCAGGCUUUGCACCAAAUAAUGGUAUAAUUAUAGUGUCUGGGAUUUUACACUGUUUGUGCUAAUAAGGAGUUCCCAAAGGGAAAUUGUCUUGUUGUGGUUUAGGUUAAGUUUCUGCAGCUGUAUUAAAUUUGUGCAGUGCCUUGUAAAAGUAUUCAUACUCCUCCAACCAUUAACAUCUACAUAUUCACUCGGGCUUGACGCUAUUGACCAAGACAAAAUCGGAAAAUGGAACGGAAAUGGAAAUGAAAAGUGGAAAAUUGCAACUUGUAUUUGUGUAAAGCCAAUUUCACUUUGAUUCCCUUAAAUAAAACUAACUGGUUGCCUAAUUGGUAAGUGGUCCGUCUGUGUGUAAUUUAAUUUCAGUAUGAAGACAGUUGAUCUUUGAAAGCCUCAUGAGUUUGUUGGGGAAAAUUUGUGAACAGGUCACGUUUUCAAAGUUGCAGAAAGACUUGAGAUUAUGCCAGAGGUUCACAGAAGUGUUUGGUGGUAUAAUAUGAAAAAGUUCAAGGCGUUUGAAUACUCUUGCAGGGAAAUGCAUGUAGGCAACACGUCACUGAGCUGUGGCCAGGAUAAACCAAAGGAGACGGCAAAGGAUUCUACUUUUUAAAACAACUGUAACAGCAGAGAUAAAUAAAUCUGGUUUCCAACAGAAAAAAAAUAAACCCCACAUAAAAAACUGCCAGCUAGAGUAAAGACUUUAGAGCAAGAUAUUAUGCAAAUGUGCCUUUUUAGGGAGAACUAUUAAAAUAAUUACAUGCCAGAAAUUAUGAUCAAUUAAAAAUAUUUUACAUACUACUAAAAUCUGCUCAUACCUCUGCAAGGACUUUUCAAGUAAAAGCCACAUAACAGGUUUUUUUUUCAAAAAAUCAAGAAUGGCUUCUCCAGUCUUCAAGGGGUUUUUUUCAGGACUUGAGGGCUGAACAGAGGAAAUUGCUUCUUUCCAACCCCAAUCGUCUAAUAAACGUCCCUUUUUUAUAUAUAUAUAUAUAUAUAUAUAUAUAUAUAAAUGGACAGCUUAAAUCUGCAAGGUGAAAAUGAGUGAAAAAAAAAAACUCAGUCCCCCUUCCUACAUUUGUAAGAUGGUAUCAGAUAACGAAUGUAUCAUCAAGAGAACAUACAUACAGUCCAGUCCAUUGGUUCUCAUAUCCAAAAUAGUUCCCAGAGCAGCAUGGUUUCAGUCUGCUAAAGUUCAAGGUGAGGUUUGAAAGAAAUGGUUGGGUGUGACAUGGGAACCAGUUGUUUUUUUAUAAUUUUUUUUUUUAGGGAACCUGGGUCACCCCUUUCAUCUUAGUCGCUGAUCCAAUCACUGCUCUGUGUUUGGUGGCAUCACGAGUAGCGACGAAUCAUUACAUUACAACACCGACUCACCAACCACACAGGACACGCAUCUACUACCACACAACCAUACUCCGGCCUAAUACUGUGAACAGGGACAACAGAGAUCGGAAAUGCUAAGAAGACGACAGAAAGAAAAGGGGCAGACGACCUGGGGGAGAAAGGGGUUAGAGGCAAGAGAAGGAAACGAAAUGAAACACUCAUCUACACUUACAAUUCUGCAUGAUGUUUACACAAUAACACCAUCGACAAUCACUACAGACAUUCUUACUGUCUUCUAAACCUAAUUUCCACUGAGAAAUACCAGAAAAUGGAAACACCAGAGGGAUGGCUUAGGGAGAAGUGACAUGGAGGCAACAUCCUGUUCUCAACACCACGGCAGCCGAAAUGGCUGCAGUUAACAGUAGCGGUAGAAAUCAGGCCAGUUUUGCCAUCCGUUCUCAUUUUGUCUCAUGAAUCUUUUAACAGCUGUUUAGUUAUUCAUCUUGACAAAGAAUCUGUGGUUUCAUCAUCCCUGACAAGGGACAAAAAUGGAGUUUGCAUAAAUCAUCUUAAAGGAACAAGAGAGUUCUCUCUCCUGCAGCAAAUUAUACCCAAACCAUGAAUUUGUUCUAAUAAAGAGGGUCUUUCUUUUGAUCACUGAGUUGUAACUUUUCCACUGUAUGGCUUCCAGAAAUAGAAAAAAAUUGACAUUUUGCGCUCACCAGCCCGGUAAGAACCACUCCCUUGUACUAACACUUUGCUUCGUACAGAGGAUCUGGACUGAGCUGUUCAGAACCGAACGCUUCCUGGAGGCGUGGACUGUGUCGAGGUUUUAAAUUUUAAAUUUUAUGUUUGCUCGUGACGAAUGAAAUGCGCAAGUUCGACGCCACUUACCGGAAAUUGCCUACACUGUAAACAACCGUCCUCCACUGCGAAGAGAAAGAAGCGCUCAUCCGAAAGAAGUGGCUGCCAGUGUUGAUUAGCGCAGAAGAUUGACGUCAUCGUUCACGAUUCUCUUUCUGUUCGCUGAUUGGCCCGUUCAAAAAUUGACCGGAGACAAUCUGAGAGAGCCCAGAUUGUGUUGGAUAUGAGGACUUUUUUUGUUUGUUUUGGAAGCUAACGCUGAGAUUUUGAUUCAAAACCGUUUCAUGUCUUUUUGUCACUAGAACACAAUUUUCAACUAUCAGUGUAUUUUGUCUGUUAACCAUUUUUAAAACCUUUUCUCAAAAAAAACAUUCUGUUUAUUACUUAGACAAGUAGGAUGCUAUUUAUUAACAAGCCAAUCCUAGCAAUACUAAUCGACUUGGUUGCAUCUAUUAUUUAUUUACUGACCAAAUUAGAUGUUUUUUUUGGCAAUGAAAGUCACAGAAGUAGCAUACAAAUUUUUGAACCCAAUAUUACAUCUACUGAAAGUGGUAAAAGUAAGGCACCAUAGAAGAGGUGUAAAUUAUCCACCCAUGAGACAAAUGACCAUUACUGCUAACCGGUAAAAUAGGAGUGAAGUUAAAUACCUGUGGCAACCGGCACAGACACCUGAGCUACGUAUUUUUGGUGCCUUUAAUUUGUAUAGGUUAAAGCUGGAAAAGUCCUAAUUUUGUGACUAAGCUGAAGGGCCCAAUUCAUCCACUUGAGUUCAAGUCUGAUUUAAAAGGGAAACAGACUGGAAUAAACUGCUCAUUUACACUUAUAACAUUUCUGUGUUUCAUUAAGCCAGUUGAAAAUAUUGAGAAAUAGUUUGGUUUUGGCUUGUGUUGUGAACAGCAUUUAGCCUGGUUACUGAAAACUAAAUGACAUUUUCCUGGUUUUCUGACUGAUUAUGUAUGACACCAUUCUGAGAUUUUAAUUUUGGCAUCUGUGGCUAUAAUCAAAUCAGUACUAUCAAAUCCCACUGGUAUUCAUAUCUUCGCCCAGAAUGUGCUCAACUCAGUUGGUUUCAUUUCUGAUGAACAUGGAAGAUGGCAUGAAUGGUGAUUGCAUGCGACUGAACGAUGCAUAUUAUUGUUCAGCUUGAAAGAAAGCUCGGUGGACACUGAGCUUUUCACCCGAGCAAAACAAUUUUGCUUGUUAAAAUAAUGAACAAUAUAAACUUUAUGGUUUACUUCCUGGGUGUUGGACUCCAGGCCAUCAGUGCAGACGUUCUGCAACUUUCUAAUGUCUUCCUGGACCAACACACCUGAAUUAAACGGCUGAAUUGAUGCAGUCGAGUUCUGCAACAUUCUACUAUCAGCAUAAUUAUUUGAUUCAAAUGUGUUGAAGCACAGACACAUCUAGAACAUGCAAAUUACAGACCCUCAAUGUCUUGAGUUUAACACCUCUUGCUCAGGAGUCAUCAGAACUACUGUUUUGUUUGUUUGUUUUGCCAUCAUCAAAAACCAUCAGUUUAUAUUAACUCAAGUUUCUGAGCAGUUUAUAUUUUGUUCGCAGGCUCCAUUUAGAUCACUUUGUGAGGUGUUGAGAACAGAAUAACGUCUCAUGGUGGAUGAGGUGCUUUAACACAGUGAACAUUCAGAAGCUCACAGACAACAACGACUGAACAGAAUAAAAAUAAGGGACAAACAAAUAUGCAACGUAACGCUUGAAAAAAA